RNAcentral lists this ribosomal RNA (460 nucleotides) under uncultured bacterium. RNAcentral describes it as "partial 16S ribosomal RNA". It matches the Rfam family "Bacterial small subunit ribosomal RNA", at positions 338 to 795 of the family's 1533-position model. The record is from RNAcentral.
CCUACGGGAGGCUGCAGUGAGGAAUAUUGGUCAAUGGACGCAAGGCUGAACCAGCCAUGCCGCGUGCAGGAAGACGGCUCUAUGAGUUGUAAACUGCUUUUGUACGAGGGUAAACUCAGAUACGCGUAUCUGUCUGAAAGUAUCGUACGAAUAAGGAUCGGCUAACUCCGUGCCAGCAGCCGCGGUAAUACGGAGGAUUCAAGCGUUAUCCGGAUUUAUUGGGUUUAAAGGGUGCGUAGGCGGUCGGGUAAGUUAGAGGUGAAAUCCCGAGGCUCAACUUCGGAAUUGCCUUUGAUACUGUUCGGCUAGAGAGUAGUUGAGGUAGGCGGAAUGUAUGGUGUAGCGGUGAAAUGCUUAGAGAUCAUGCAGAACACCGAUGGCGAAGGCAGCUUACUAAGCUACUUAUGACGUUGAGGCACGAAAGCGUGGGGAGCAAACAGGAUUAGAUACCCUAGUAGUC